GCCCGGGUGGCGGAAUUGGCAGACGCGCUAGCUUGAGGGGCUAGUUGGAGAUAUCCAGUGCUGGUUCGAAUCCAGUCCCGGGCA
RNAcentral lists this transfer RNA (84 nucleotides) under Phycisphaerales bacterium. RNAcentral describes it as "tRNA-Leu". It matches the Rfam family "tRNA". Rfam says of the family: Transfer RNA (tRNA) molecules are approximately 80 nucleotides in length. Their secondary structure includes four short double-helical elements and three loops (D, anti-codon, and T loops). The record is from RNAcentral. Lineage: Bacteria; Pseudomonadati; Planctomycetota; Phycisphaerae; Phycisphaerales.